RNAcentral lists this transfer RNA (59 nucleotides) under Acinetobacter baumannii. RNAcentral describes it as "tRNA-Ile". It matches the Rfam family "tRNA", at positions 6 to 58 of the family's 71-position model. From Rfam's summary of the family: Transfer RNA (tRNA) molecules are approximately 80 nucleotides in length. RNAcentral also lists the same sequence under 1 other name. Lineage: Bacteria; Pseudomonadati; Pseudomonadota; Gammaproteobacteria; Moraxellales; Moraxellaceae. The record is from RNAcentral.
GUCUGUAGCUCAGUUGGUUAGAGCACACGCUUGAUAAGCGUGGGGUCACAAGUUCAAGU